AACGAACGCUGGCGGCAUGCCUAACACAUGCAAGUCGAACGACACCACCGUAUGUAGUUGCGCACGGGUGCGUAACGUGGCGGAACCUGCCCUUAGGUUCGGAAUAACUCCUUGUCGGGGGUGCUAACACCGGAUAAUGUCUUCGGACCCAAGAUUUAUCGUGUUUGGAUGGGCACGCGUUGGUUGAGCCAGUGGGUAGUGUAAAAGCCUAUCACGGGGUCGUUCCAUAGCUGGUCUGAGAGAAAGAUCAGCCACGCUGGGACUGGGACCCGGCCCAGAAUCCUACGGGAGGCAGCAGUGGGGAAUAUUGGAAAAUGGGCGAAAGCCUGAUCCAGCAAUGCCGCGUGAGUGAUGAAGGCCUUAGGGUUGUAAAGCUCUUUUACCCGGGAUGAUAAUGGCAGUACCGGGAGAAUAAGCUCCGGCUAACUCCGUG
Molecule: ribosomal RNA, 433 nt
Filed under: uncultured bacterium
Lineage: Bacteria
Description: partial 16S ribosomal RNA
Rfam family: Bacterial small subunit ribosomal RNA
Source: RNAcentral